UAGGGAAUCUUCCACAAUGGGCGAAAGCCUGAUGGAGCAACGCCGCGUGUGUGAUGAAGGGUUUCGGCUCGUAAAGCACUGUUGUAAGAGAAGAAUGACAUUGAGAGUAACUGUUCAAUGUGUGACGGUAUCUUACCAGAAAGGAACGGCUAAAUACGUGCCCG
RNAcentral lists this ribosomal RNA (164 nucleotides) under uncultured bacterium. RNAcentral's name for it is "partial 16S rRNA". It matches the Rfam family "Bacterial small subunit ribosomal RNA", at positions 355 to 511 of the family's 1533-position model. The record is from RNAcentral.